This 479-nucleotide ribosomal RNA is filed under the name uncultured bacterium. Its description in RNAcentral is "bacterial SSU rRNA". It matches the Rfam family "Bacterial small subunit ribosomal RNA", at positions 28 to 507 of the family's 1533-position model. The record is from RNAcentral.
GAUGAACGCUGGCGGCGUGCUUAACACAUGCAAGUCGAACGAAGCACUUAAUGAGAUUUCUUCGGAUUGAUUAUUUUGUGACUGAGUGGCGGACGGGUGAGUAACGCGUGGGUAACCUGCCCCAGACCGGGGAUAACAGUCGGAAACGACUGCUAAUACCGCAUAAGCGCACAGUGCCGCAUGGCACAGUGUGAAAAACUCCGGUGGUCUGGGAUGGACCCGCGUCCGAUUAGUUAGUUGGCGGGGUAACGGCCCACCAAGACCGCGAUCGGUAGCCGACCUGAGAGGGUGACCGGCCACAUUGGGACUGAGACACGGCCCAGACUCCUACGGGAGGCAGCAGUGGGGAAUAUUGCACAAUGGGGGGAACCCUGAUGCAGCGACGCCGCGUGGAGGAAGAAGGUCUUCGGGAUUGUAAACUCCUGUUGUUGGGGAAGAUAAUGACGGUACCCAACAAGGAAGUGACGGCUAACUACGUG